GUGUCACGGGCCGAAGGAAGUCAGCUGUGGGGUAGAUUUGUACGAGAUCGCUGGACCCUAAGGAACCCAGAAAAUGCAAGCAAGGUUAUGUGUUACAAGACAUUCUUGUGCAGAGAGGGUGUAUAAAUGUCAUUAGUUUUGCAGGGUCUGUUAUCUUAAAACCUUUUCUUGUAGAUGAAGAAAUUUGAGGGGAUGGUGUGAUGAGCUGAAGAGCAAGCACCAGAUUGCCUGUGAUUGGAAGUACCAGGUCCACAGGUUUCU
RNAcentral lists this long non-coding RNA (261 nucleotides) under Homo sapiens (human). Its description in RNAcentral is "non-protein coding lnc-DAPP1-8:2". Lineage: Eukaryota; Metazoa; Chordata; Mammalia; Primates; Hominidae. The record is from RNAcentral.